This 425-nucleotide ribosomal RNA is filed under the name uncultured Azospira sp. RNAcentral describes it as "bacterial SSU rRNA". It matches the Rfam family "Bacterial small subunit ribosomal RNA", at positions 356 to 774 of the family's 1533-position model. Lineage: Bacteria; Pseudomonadati; Pseudomonadota; Betaproteobacteria; Rhodocyclales; Rhodocyclaceae. The record is from RNAcentral.
GGGGAAUUUUGCACAAUGGGGGCAACCCUGAUCCAGCCAUGCCGCGUGAGUGAAGAAGGCCUUUGGGUUGUAAAGCUCUUUCGGCGGGGCACAAAUGGCAACGGCUACUCUCCGUUGUUGAUUACGGUACCAGCCUAAUAAUCACCGGCUCACUUCCUGCCAGCAGCCGCGGUAAUACGUAGGGUGCGAGCGUUAAUCGGAAUUACUGGGCGUAAAGCGUGCGCAGGCGGUUUCGUAAGACAGACGUGAAAUCCCCGGGUCAACCUGGGAACUGCGUUUGUGAAUGCGAGGCUAGAGUACGGCAGAGGGGGGUAGAAUUCCACGUGUAGCAGUGAAAUGCGUAGAGAUGUUGAGGAAUACCGAUGGCGAAGGCAGCUCCCUGGGUUAGUAUUGACGCUCAUGCACGAAAGCGUGGGGAGCAAACA